AAAGCUUAGUUGAGUUGAGUUGAUAAUAAAAAAAAUUAUAAUCUGAUUAUGUAUUUUCCAACAAAUUUAAUGCAAUCAUAUAAUUGUUAUAUGACAAUAAUUAUUUAAUAAACAUCACACCAAGCAUAGUUCGGGAUCAUUCACUUUGUGUUUAUGAGUAGUCGCAAACAGAGUCACUUUCAUCUGCACUAGCUAUGAAUGCUACCCGCACUCACUCUAAGGUAGUGGAGAUCUCAAUAUUCAAUUGAAAUAUAAUAAAAAAAAAUAAUACGACAUGACUUGCCAGCUAUUUGGCUGUUGGAUAUCCAAUUACAUUAGUUGUUAACACCUAUAAAUGCCAUGCACAAUUGCACAUGCAACCAUUAUCCACCAGCCCCACCAUUUAUUUUUCUCUUCUGGUUCUAGAUCCCCAGACCCCACCACCCCUAUAAAGCAAAAAUUAUCUAAAAGCCUGCAAUCGGUAAAUGGGGACUAUCUAUACUUAUUUUAUUCCAUAACUAUAACUUUUUAGGUGAGGAAGAAAGGAAGCAUCAAAACAGGUUAAAAUUCCCAAUA
Molecule: unclassified non-coding RNA, 555 nt
Filed under: Hevea brasiliensis (rubber tree)
Lineage: Eukaryota; Viridiplantae; Streptophyta; Magnoliopsida; Malpighiales; Euphorbiaceae
Source: RNAcentral